UGGCGGCGUGCCUAAUACAUGCAAGUCGAACGGUCUUUCUAUGGAAGCUUGCUUCCACUGAGAAGAUAGUGGCGAACGGGUGAGUAACACGUGGGUAACCUGCCCAUAAGAGGGGGAUAACAUCCGGAAACGGGUGCUAAUACCGCAUAGUUUUCUUGAUCGCAUGAUCGGGAAAGGAAAGACGGCCUUUGUGCUGUCGCUUAUGGAUGGACCCGCGGCGUAUUAGUUAGUUGGUGAGGUAACGGCUCACCAAGACGAUGAUACGUAGCCGACCUGAGAGGGUGAUCGGCCACAUUGGGACUGAGACACGGCCCAAACUCCUACGGGAGGCAGCAGUAGGGAAUCUUCCGCAAUGGACGAAAGUCUGACGGAGCAACGCCGCGUGAGUGAAGAAAAGGGUUUUCGGAUCGUAAAACUCUGUUGUCAGAGAAGAACAAGUUGGAGAGUAACUGCUCCAGCCUUGACGGUAUCUGACCAGAAAGCCACGGCUAACUACGUGCCAGCCGCCGC
RNAcentral lists this ribosomal RNA (510 nucleotides) under uncultured bacterium. Its description in RNAcentral is "bacterial SSU rRNA". It matches the Rfam family "Bacterial small subunit ribosomal RNA", at positions 37 to 518 of the family's 1533-position model. The record is from RNAcentral.